AACUAGUUGCUUCUGGCAGUUUUUUCGUUGAUUCGAUUUUGUUCUAUCAUCCGUGUUCGUCAUAAUAUGUACCCCAGUCAAAUCAUUAUAUGUGCAAGCCUUCAACUAUAAUUGUGUGCCAUUUAUGAGACAUGUGCUCCCAAGAGUGACAAUUUUGUUUGUUGACGAAGUAAUUAAGCCAGAAAAUAGAAUCAUCUGGGCGGAUGAUUUUUCGAUGAACGUAAAUUUGCGUAAUAAUGUUGGACAAUUUCCAAUCGUUGUACCAAAGUGAAACGUGACAUAAUAAAAUGGAAACAAUACUGAACACCCUGCCUAAAUUUUACCCAAAUCCGUUAACAAACAUGGCUGCGCCGAGCUAUAAAAUUACAUUAUCCCUAUUGGUAGACGAUAUACAGAGUCGGAGAAAAUGUUUAACCAGGCUGUAUUGCUAAUAUCUGAUAGGAGAACGGCACUAAAGGAUAAAAACAUCAACAAACUACUACUUUUAAACAAAAACAAGUACAUUAUUGUUGAAUCGAGUAAUCUACCGAAACGUAUUUUAAGUAAACAUUUCUUGCUCUCAUAAUACAUUAGUAAAUGUAUAAAAAAAUUUACAUUUUUAGAACUUAUUAGCUCUCAGAGCAGUUUAUAUAGUAACAUGAAAAAUGUUAUAUGUAACUUUACUAAACUCUUUGUGUUUUCCUUUAUUGCCCAUGUUUUGUUUAAUAAAUAAAUUCAAAUAUUAUUUUAUAAUGUA
Long non-coding RNA from Bactrocera oleae (olive fruit fly), 736 nucleotides. RefSeq lists it as uncharacterized. Lineage: Eukaryota; Metazoa; Arthropoda; Insecta; Diptera; Tephritidae. The record is from RefSeq and is a predicted model, not a curated record.